AUGUUGUCAGGUCACAGUAUGAGCACACCAGUAUUUACCAAACUGUUCCAAGACUCAAAACAACAGGCUGAUACUGUGCUCAAUGUUCUGACUUGUCAGCCGUGUUGACUACUUUGCCCUGAUGAGGUGCUCUUAAGAGACAUAAGUGCCUCUAAGCCUGCACUAACUGAUCCUAAGGACCUGGCCCUCUGGC
This is a long non-coding RNA of Neopelma chrysocephalum (saffron-crested tyrant-manakin), 193 nucleotides long. RefSeq lists it as uncharacterized. NCBI's taxonomy places the organism in Eukaryota, Metazoa, Chordata, Aves, Passeriformes, Pipridae. The transcript has 3 exons. The record is from RefSeq and is a predicted model, not a curated record.